CACGUAGGGAGCAAGCGUUGUCCGGAUUUAUUGGGCGUAAAGAGCUCGUAGGCUGUUCGAUAAGUCGGGUGUGAAACCUCCAGGCUCAACCUGGAGACGCCACCCGAUACUGUCAUGACUAGAGUCCGGUAGGGGAGCGUGGAAUUCCUGGUGUAGCGGUGAAAUGCGCAGAUAUCAGGAGGAACACCGAUGGCGAAGGCAGCUCGCUGGGACGGUACUGACGCUGAGGCGCGAAAGCGUGGGGAGCAAACAGG
This 254-nucleotide ribosomal RNA is filed under the name uncultured bacterium. RNAcentral describes it as "partial 16S ribosomal RNA". It matches the Rfam family "Bacterial small subunit ribosomal RNA", at positions 524 to 776 of the family's 1533-position model. The record is from RNAcentral.